Molecule: ribosomal RNA, 216 nt
Filed under: uncultured bacterium
Lineage: Bacteria
Description: partial 16S ribosomal RNA
Rfam family: Bacterial small subunit ribosomal RNA
Source: RNAcentral
UACGAAGGGGGCUAGCGUUGCUCGGAAUCACUGGGCGUAAAGGGCGCGUAGGCGGCCAUUCAAGUCGGGGGUGAAAGCCUGUGGCUCAACCACAGAAUUGCCUUCGAUACUGUUUGGCUUGAGUAUGGUAGAGGUCAGUGGAACUGCGAGUGUAGAGGUGAAAUUCGUAGAUAUUCGCAAGAACACCAGUGGCGAAGGCGGCUGACUGGACCAUUC